GACAAACGCUGGCGGCGUGCAUAAAACAUGCAAGUCGAACGGGCCAAUCCCCGCAAGGGGAAAGGCUAGUGGCGAACGGCUGAGUAACACGUAGGUGACCUGCCCUGAAGUGGGGGAUAACGACUCGAAAGAGUCGCUAAUACCGCAUGUGACCACCGAUUCAUUUCGGUGCUCAAAGUCGUAAGACGCUUUUGGAGGGGCCUGCGGCGGAUUAGCUAGUUGGUGGGGUAACGGCCUACCAAGGCGUCGAUCCGUAGCUGGUCUGAGAGGAUGGCCAGCCAGACUGGGACUGAGACACGGCCCAGACUCCUACGGGAGGCAGCAGUUAGGAAUUUUGCGCAAUGGGGGGAAACCCUGACGCAGCCACGCCGCGUGCGGGAUGAAGGCCUUCGGGUCGUAACGCUUUUGUCGAGGAAGACACCGACGGUACUCGGCG
This 436-nucleotide ribosomal RNA is filed under the name uncultured bacterium. RNAcentral's name for it is "bacterial SSU rRNA". It matches the Rfam family "Bacterial small subunit ribosomal RNA", at positions 28 to 484 of the family's 1533-position model. The record is from RNAcentral.